AUCAAGAUAUUUUUUAACUAAAAAUGAGUCCUCUAUCCAUAACACUGCUUUCUCCAGUGAAAAAGUCAUCUUAUCUGAAUCAGGAGAGAAAUAUGCACAGAACCAAGAACCAUUUACAAGCCAAAACAAUUUGUAUCUGUUAUGUUGGACGAUUUGAUGUGAGAGGACAAGAGGGGAUGGAUUUUUUCACUGGAGGAAGUGUUAUUAUGGAUUAUGGAUUUAUGGACUAUUUUGGCCAGAAGCAACGAUUACAUCUUAAUGAUGGUAUUGUUUUCAUACAAACACACAGCUUUUCACUUAACAAGACAUUAACUGAUGGACUGGAGUGGUGUGGAUUACUUGUGAUGUUUUUAUCAGCUGUUUGGACUCUCAUUCUGACGGCACCCAUUCACUGCAGAGGAUCUAUUGGUGAACAAGUGCAGUAUUUCUCCAAAUCUGUCCCAGCAAAGAAACAAACUCAUUUACAUCUUGGAUGCCCUGAGGGUGAGUAUAUUUUCAGAAGAUUUUCAUUUUUUUUUUUUUGAGUAAUAUGUCUGAAAUUGCUUAAGUGACGAUGCACUGCAUGUCUUUGUAAAUUGUGAGCUUUUCAUUGAAUUAUCUGACUUAGUAUGAAACAGUCUCACCUUCAGUUGUUGUCUGAAUCUGAAUGACAUUCAGGUAUGUUUUUUGUCCCUCAUAUUCUAGCAGAACUGGUAUGUCCUGAAUCACUUUACAAACAUAAUCUCCAGUGUCAUUUUUACCUAUAUUUGUGAUUUUCAGAAAGGAGCAGUUUUUCAUAGGGGACGUUUGAUUUAGCCGCUUUUCUACCGGUAUUCUUUCCUUAUCCUUAUACCAAGCUACUUUAAAAUCAUUGUUUUCUUCUUUUGUUUUAUUCCAGCAGCAGCUGAUUUGAUCAGAUUGUCCUUCAUUCACAGUGAUACUAGAUGGGCUCUGAAUCACAGUCAGCUCCUCGUAUGAACCUUGGCAGCUUUAUUUUUUCAGAAGAUGUUUAGGGUGAAUGUGGCUCUUACCUCUGAAGCAAAUGCAGGACAAAAUGAGGCCACAGAUCAGAGGGCAGGAGAACUUCAUUUCGAAGCGUUUAAUCACAAAUCCAAACUAAGGUAACAUAAGCGCUGUCACACUCGCUCACAUUAAAACACACCAUCGGUCAUGACUUCCUCGAGUGUCAGUGUGCCCAAAGGGAAUCUUCUCACAAGGUACUUUGCCAGGAAGUGGUCAAGACAACAUCUUGAUAAACAGGAAGUCCUUCAAAGACUGGGCUUCCUGCAAGAAGAUGGCAACAGCAUCCUGACAUGAAAUCAUCAAUGCAGCACCACACAGCGGUUUACCUUUAGAUUUCUGACAGAAACGAGAGCAGGAGAAGACGAUGAUCUCAUCUUCAAGUCAAGAGCCUUCAUAUAGCCGUAUGCACCUGCUCUUACACUGUCUCCUAGCAACCAGAGCGCCAGAGACAGAGAUUGAUUCUUCAGCCGCUUUAUGAGUAUUGUGUGUCUGAUCAUGGCGGUUAAAUGUUGGCUAAUUGAAUUGUGUUUUUUUUUUUUUUUUGCUGAGCACUUUCAAGGCUGACGCCAGGUUUGAGCUCACAUCUCACAGCUCGAGUGCUCCCAAAAUCAUCCUCACAGGCAUUGUAGCCAAGACUGUUUAAUUCAAUUCACUUCCAUUCUGAGAUUCUAGUAACAGAGAUUAACAUAAUAUUUAUAAACAUACAAUGACCAAGCUAAAUGUAAUUAUAAAGCACAUAUGAAUGAAGCAAAACAUAGACAUUCAUGUUCUUGAAUAUGAAAUCAAACUAGACCCUACUGACUUGGUAUUAUUGUAUACAAUUCAUUAUUUUUUCAUUGUAAAGAAAAAAAAUGUUUGUUUUCAUAGUCUUUUCCCAAAAUUACACCAAGAAAUAAAUCUCAAUAUGUCUCCAUUAAUUUCUAGUCUUUAAAAUCAAUAUGAAAUCCAAA
Cyprinus carpio carpio is the source of this 1952-nucleotide long non-coding RNA. NCBI's taxonomy places the organism in Eukaryota, Metazoa, Chordata, Actinopteri, Cypriniformes, Cyprinidae. The record is from Ensembl.